UACGUAGGUGGCAAGCGUUGUCCGGAUUUAUUGGGCGUAAAGGGGGCGCAGGCGGUUUCUUAAGUCUGAUGUGAAAGCCCACGGCUCAACCGUGGAAGGUCAUUGGAAACUGGGGAACUUGAGUGCAGAAGGGGAGAGUGGAAUUCCAUGUGUAGCGGUGAAAUGCGUAGAUAUAUGGAGGAACACCAGUGGCGAAGGCGGCUUUCUGGCUAUUAACUGACGCUGAGGCGCGAAAGCGUGGGGAGCAAACAGG
RNAcentral lists this ribosomal RNA (253 nucleotides) under uncultured bacterium. RNAcentral describes it as "partial 16S ribosomal RNA". It matches the Rfam family "Bacterial small subunit ribosomal RNA", at positions 524 to 776 of the family's 1533-position model. The record is from RNAcentral.